UAGAAAUGGGGGCUCCUUUCAGCCUAAAAACAGCUUCAAAUAAUAAGGGUUUUGGUCUUGUCGAUGAUGUUUUGGACUGAAGGGAGCUCCUAAUUCUU
This 98-nucleotide microRNA precursor is filed under the name Corchorus capsularis. RNAcentral describes it as "MIR319 microRNA precursor family". It matches the Rfam family "MIR319 microRNA precursor family". Lineage: Eukaryota; Viridiplantae; Streptophyta; Magnoliopsida; Malvales; Malvaceae. The record is from Rfam by way of RNAcentral.